CCAAAAACAUAGCCCUCAAAACAAUUGAAGGUGAAACCUGCCCAAUGAUUUAAUACACUAAAUUUAAAAAAUUAAAAAAAAAGAUUAAAUGGCUGCAGUAACCAUGACUGUAAAAAUGUAGCAUAAUAAUUCGCCACUUAAUUAGUGGAUAGUAUGAACGGUUUAACGAAAAUUCCACUGUCUUAUGAAAUAAAAAAAAAAUUUAAAUCAUAGUUAAGAUGCUAUGUAAAACUGUAAGACGAAAAGACCCUAUAAAGCUUAACUAUAUUUCUUAAUAAAUUAAAAAAAAAAUAAAAACAAUUAUUAAUUAAGAUUUGGUAGUUUCAUUGGGGCGAUGGUCUCUAAAAAUAAACAGAGAUAAACCUAUAUAAUAAUAAAAAUUUACUGUAUAAUUAAUAAAUUUAACAGUUACAAAGUAGGGUAUAAUGACCCAUUAUUUUAAUAAAAAAAAAAUAAUGAUCAAUAGAUAAAAGCUACUUUAGGGAUAACAGGAUAAUAAUUUCUUAGAGACCCAAUCGAAGAAAAAGUUUAUCACCUCGAUGUUGAAUUAAGAUAACCUAAUGACGCAGCAGUAAUUAAAGGUAGGUC
This 588-nucleotide ribosomal RNA is filed under the name Lytocarpia phyteuma. RNAcentral describes it as "partial large subunit ribosomal RNA". It matches the Rfam family "Bacterial large subunit ribosomal RNA", at positions 1807 to 2577 of the family's 2925-position model. Lineage: Eukaryota; Metazoa; Cnidaria; Hydrozoa; Leptothecata; Aglaopheniidae. The record is from RNAcentral.